CCCUUAGAUGUUCUGGGCCGCACGCGCGCUACACUGUUCGACGCAGCGAGUCUUAACCUUGACCGAAAGGUUUGGGUAAUCUUCAGCAAAGUCGAACGUGAUGGGGAUCGAUCAUUGCAAUUAUUGAUCGUGAACGAGGAAUUCCUAGUAAGUGCAAGUCAUCAGCUUGCGCUGAUUACGUCCCUGCCCUUUGUACACACCGCCCGUCGCUACUACCGAUUGAAUGGUUUAGUGAAAUCUCUGGAUUGACGCUGGCUAGGGGGCGACCCUUGGCCAGGCUGUCGAGAAACUGCUCAAACUUGAUCAUUUAGAGGAAGUAAAAGUCGUAACA
RNAcentral lists this ribosomal RNA (331 nucleotides) under uncultured eukaryote. RNAcentral's name for it is "partial 18S ribosomal RNA". It matches the Rfam family "Eukaryotic small subunit ribosomal RNA", at positions 1470 to 1796 of the family's 1831-position model. The record is from RNAcentral.